Molecule: ribosomal RNA, 477 nt
Filed under: uncultured bacterium
Lineage: Bacteria
Description: bacterial SSU rRNA
Rfam family: Bacterial small subunit ribosomal RNA
Source: RNAcentral
GAUGAACGCUAGCGGCAGGCCUAACACAUGCAAGUCGAACGGUAGAGGGGGCAACCCCUUGAGAGUGGCGAACGGGUGAGUAAUAUAUCGGAACGUGCCCAGUCGUGGGGGAUAACGUAGCGAAAGUUACGCUAAUACCGCAUACGAUCUCAGGAUGAAAGCGGGGGACUCGCAAGAGCCUCGCGCGAUUGGAGCGGCCGAUAUCAGAUUAGGUAGUUGGUGGGGUAACGGCUUACCAAGACAAUGAUGGGUAGGGGUCCUGAGAGGGAGAUCCCCCACACUGGUACUGAGACACGGACCAGACUCCUACGGGAGGCAGCAGUGAGGAAUAUUGGUCAAUGGGCGCAAGCCUGAACCAGCCAUGCCGCGUGCAGGAAGACGGUCCUAUGGAUUGUAAACUGCUUUUAUACAGGAAGAAACCCUCCCACGUGUGGGAGCUUGACGGUACUGUAGGAAUAAGGAUCGGCUAACUCCGUG